GUCAAGGAUACCGGAAGAGGCAACCACAAGCUGUUUCAAAUAGCGUUAUAUUAUAAUUCACUAAAAAAAAAAAAUUGCUGGUGAUAAUGACGUGCCCCUCUCCGACAGAGCUUCGAAAGAACUUUAUUUUUUCUACAGUCGUUGAGGAUGAGGAUGAAAGAACUCGUCUUCAAGGGGAAAAUAAACCAAGGAGGCUUCAUACAGAUCCAGAUAAAGAUAUUCUCCUUGGCAUCCCUACUGACACUGAACACACGGGUGUCUGUGAUGUGGAACUUCAGGAAUCCCAGUUUUUCAUUUUGGACCCCUCCAUGAGGCCCAAACUUCCACUUAGCCUGCAGUCAGAGUCACAGCCUGCCCCCAGCAUAUGGUCAGAUCCUCCUGUCCACCCCAGUCUCCAAGAUUCAGUUGCAGAGGCCCUUGUGCCCCAGCGCCAGGGCUCCUGGGACAUGGUGAACCAGGGUGCAGGAGAAAAAAUGCAGUGUACAGAUGAAGUGGACGACAAAGGCAGCUGCAUUCCAGAGGUAGUGAUCACACAGGCAGAUGAGCUUUUCUGUGCCCAUAACAAGGGAGAGCAGCUGGUGGUGGAGAAGCCACGUGAUGGCAAGCAGACUGAGGAGACUGAGAGGGUAGUUUUUGUGGACACAGUCAGUAGCUAUGGUGAUGGAGGGGAUAUCAGCUGUAGUGACCAGCAGUCCCUGAAAAGUGACAGCAUCUCCCUGACCAGUGAAGCUACAGUCUCAGGGAAGAGUUACGGGGAGCAGGACUGUCAGGAGGAUGAUGCCAGGAGUGUAACUGCAUCCUCAGUCACGUCCCUGUUCCAGCGGCUGCAGAUGGACCCUCUGGAGCGCGAGUGGCUCCGUUUCGCCGCCCUGGGGAAUGCUGCGGCUCUGCGCCAGCUCCUCAGCCAGGACCCAACCCUUGCUUCCAAAAAGACAGCACUCCACUGGGCAGUGAAGCAGGGCCGCCUGGAUAUGGCAGAGAUGAUGGCCCAGGCUGGCGUGGACGUCAAUGCAAAAUCGGUGAGUGAUGACGGGCAUUGUGGGUUCUGACUCUGGAGUUUACGCUUCUACUUGGGCCCCGUAGCGAAAGCCUACUCUUCCUCAUUCACACACUGUCCUGAGAAGUUCCAUCUUGAUCAGUCCUCAUGCCUGUGCUCAAGUUGAGUGUUUACUAUAUGCAUUCUCAUACAGUAGCUUUGACUGAAUCCUUUGCUCAGAUUCAAGGCCAUUUUUAUUCCUUGUGCAGCUAUUCACGCUUAAAUUCAGUCUAGCACACAGACACCUCAGCAUGUUUUAUUUCAUUAGGCAUUUUAGCAACUUGGUGCAAAGCCAGACCUACAGCAAUAUCGGUUAGACUUUUUUUUUUUUAGUUGAUUUAAUGGGAACAAAAAUUGUAUACCAAUAUCUUGGCAAAAUCUUGUCAUGUUAAGGUGACUGGAGUUUAGUGCUUAAAGGGUCCCAAGGUCACAGACGCUCCCUGUUCAGCCCCUCUUAUUCUAAACGACUUAACUAUGCUAAUAAAUGAGCUAAUUAAUCAAGCUGAGGCCCUGUC
This is a long non-coding RNA of Scleropages formosus (Asian bonytongue), 1551 nucleotides long. NCBI's taxonomy places the organism in Eukaryota, Metazoa, Chordata, Actinopteri, Osteoglossiformes, Osteoglossidae. The record is from Ensembl.